GGAGUUGUGGCUCAGUGGUAGAGUGCUUGCCUGGCAUGUGUGAGGCACUGGGUUCAAUCCUCAGCACCA
This 69-nucleotide transfer RNA is filed under the name Ictidomys tridecemlineatus (thirteen-lined ground squirrel). Its description in RNAcentral is "Spermophilus tridecemlineatus (thirteen-lined ground squirrel) tRNA". It matches the Rfam family "tRNA". Rfam says of the family: Transfer RNA (tRNA) molecules are approximately 80 nucleotides in length. Their secondary structure includes four short double-helical elements and three loops (D, anti-codon, and T loops). The record is from Rfam by way of RNAcentral. Lineage: Eukaryota; Metazoa; Chordata; Mammalia; Rodentia; Sciuridae.